GUGCCAGCCGCCGCGGUAAUACGUAGGGUGCGAGCGUUAAUCGGAAUUACUGGGCGUAAAGCGUGCGCAGGCGGUUUUGUAAGUCAGAUGUGAAAUCCCCGGGCUCAACUUGGGAACUGCGUUUGAAACUACAAGACUAGAAUACGUCAGAGGGGGGUAGAAUUCCGCGUGUAGCAGUGAAAUGCGUAGAUAUGUGGAGGAAUACCAAUGGCGAAGGCAGCCCCCUGGGACGAUACUGACGCUCAUGCACGAAAGCGUGGGGAGCAAACAGGAUUAGAUACCCUGGUAGUCCACGCCCUAA
This 301-nucleotide ribosomal RNA is filed under the name uncultured bacterium. RNAcentral describes it as "bacterial SSU rRNA". It matches the Rfam family "Bacterial small subunit ribosomal RNA", at positions 505 to 805 of the family's 1533-position model. The record is from RNAcentral.